RNAcentral lists this ribosomal RNA (1686 nucleotides) under Salmonella enterica subsp. enterica serovar Bovismorbificans. RNAcentral's name for it is "partial 23S ribosomal RNA". It matches the Rfam family "Bacterial large subunit ribosomal RNA", at positions 1271 to 2925 of the family's 2925-position model. The record is from RNAcentral. Lineage: Bacteria; Pseudomonadati; Pseudomonadota; Gammaproteobacteria; Enterobacterales; Enterobacteriaceae.
UGCUGGAGGUAUCAGAAGUGCGAAUGCUGACAUAAGUAACGAUAAAGCGGGUGAAAAGCCCGCUCGCCGGAAGACCAAGGGUUCCUGUCCAACGUUAAUCGGGGCAGGGUGAGUCGACCCCUAAGGCGAGGCCGAAAGGCGUAGUCGAUGGGAAACGGGUUAAUAUUCCCGUACUUGGUGUUACUGCGAAGGGGGGACGGAGAAGGCUAUGUUGGCCGGGCGACGGUUGUCCCGGUUUAAGCGUGUAGGCUGGUUUUCCAGGCAAAUCCGGAAAAUCAAGGCUGAGGCGUGACGACGAGGCACUACGGUGCUGAAGCAACAAAUGCCCUGCUUCCAGGAAAAGCCUCUAAGCAUCAGGUAACAUCAAAUCGUACCCCAAACCGACACAGGUGGUCAGGUAGAGAAUACCAAGGCGCUUGAGAGAACUCGGGUGAAGGAACUAGGCAAAAUGGUGCCGUAACUUCGGGAGAAGGCACGCUGACACGUAGGUGAAGUGAUUUACUCAUGGAGCUGAAGUCAGUCGAAGAUACCAGCUGGCUGCAACUGUUUAUUAAAAACACAGCACUGUGCAAACACGAAAGUGGACGUAUACGGUGUGACGCCUGCCCGGUGCCGGAAGGUUAAUUGAUGGGGUCAGCGCAAGCGAAGCUCCUGAUCGAAGCCCCGGUAAACGGCGGCCGUAACUAUAACGGUCCUAAGGUAGCGAAAUUCCUUGUCGGGUAAGUUCCGACCUGCACGAAUGGCGUAAUGAUGGCCAGGCUGUCUCCACCCGAGACUCAGUGAAAUUGAACUCGCUGUGAAGAUGCAGUGUACCCGCGGCAAGACGGAAAGACCCCGUGAACCUUUACUAUAGCUUGACACUGAACAUUGAGCCUUGAUGUGUAGGAUAGGUGGGAGGCUUUGAAGUGUGGACGCCAGUCUGCAUGGAGCCGACCUUGAAAUACCACCCUUUAAUGUUUGAUGUUCUAACGUGGACCCGUAAUCCGGGUUGCGGACAGUGUCUGGUGGGUAGUUUGACUGGGGCGGUCUCCUCCUAAAGAGUAACGGAGGAGCACGAAGGUUGGCUAAUCCUGGUCGGACAUCAGGAGGUUAGUGCAAUGGCAUAAGCCAGCUUGACUGCGAGCGUGACGGCGCGAGCAGGUGCGAAAGCAGGUCAUAGUGAUCCGGUGGUUCUGAAUGGAAGGGCCAUCGCUCAACGGAUAAAAGGUACUCCGGGGAUAACAGGCUGAUACCGCCCAAGAGUUCAUAUCGACGGCGGUGUUUGGCACCUCGAUGUCGGCUCAUCACAUCCUGGGGCUGAAGUAGGUCCCAAGGGUAUGGCUGUUCGCCAUUUAAAGUGGUACGCGAGCUGGGUUUAGAACGUCGUGAGACAGUUCGGUCCCUAUCUGCCGUGGGCGCUGGAGAACUGAGGGGGGCUGCUCCUAGUACGAGAGGACCGGAGUGGACGCAUCACUGGUGUUCGGGUUGUCAUGCCAAUGGCACUGCCCGGUAGCUAAAUGCGGAAGAGAUAAGUGCUGAAAGCAUCUAAGCACGAAACUUGCCCCGAGAUGAGUUCUCCCUGAGACUUUAGGUCUCCUGAAGGAACGUUGAAGACGACGACGUUGAUAGGCCGGGUGUGUAAGCGCAGCGAUGCGUUGAGCUAACCGGUACUAAUGAACCGUGAGGCUUAACCUUACAACGCCGAAG